This 253-nucleotide ribosomal RNA is filed under the name uncultured bacterium. RNAcentral describes it as "partial 16S ribosomal RNA". It matches the Rfam family "Bacterial small subunit ribosomal RNA", at positions 524 to 776 of the family's 1533-position model. The record is from RNAcentral.
UACGUAGGGGGCAAGCGUUGUCCGGAUUUACUGGGCGUAAAGAGCGCGUAGGCGGCUCGGUUAGUGUGAAGCUAAAUCUCUGGGCUCAACCCAGAAACUAUUUCGCAUACUGCCAAGCUGGAGUGAUGAAGAGGUUUGUGGAAUUCCUGGUGUAGCGGUGAAAUGCGUUGAUAUCAGGAGGAACACCCAUGGCGAAGGCAGCAAACUGGUCAUCAACUGACGCUGAGGCGCGAAAGCGUGGGUAGCAAACAGG